CAGCAGCCGCGGGAAUACGUAGGUGGCAAGCGUUGUCCGGAAUUAUUGGGCGUAAAGGGCUCGCAGGCGGUUUCUUAAGUCUGAUGUGAAAGCCCCCGGCUCAACCGGGGAGGGUCAUUGGAAACUGGGAAACUUGAGUGCAGAAGAGGAGAGUGGAAUUCCACGUGUAGCGGUGGAAUGCGUAGAGAUGUGGAGGAACACCAGUGGCGAAGGCGACUCUCUGGUCUGUAACUGACGCUGAGGAGCGAAAGCGUGGGGAGCGAACAGGAUUAGAUACCCCCGUAGUCCCUGUCUCUUAUAC
Molecule: ribosomal RNA, 301 nt
Filed under: uncultured bacterium
Lineage: Bacteria
Description: partial 16S ribosomal RNA
Rfam family: Bacterial small subunit ribosomal RNA
Source: RNAcentral